CCAGUAGUGGGGGACAACAUUCNGANACGGAUGCUAAUACCGCAUACGCACUACGGUGGAAAGUGGGGGACCUUCGGGCCUCACGCUAUUGGAUGAGCCUAAGUCGGAUUAGCUUGUUGGUAGGGUAAUGGCCUACCAAGGCGACGAUCCGUAGCUGGUCUGAGAGGACGAUCAGCCACACUGGGACUGAGACACGGCCCAGACUCCUACGGGAGGCAGCAGUGGGGAAUAUUGGACAAUGGGCGNAAGCCUGAUCCAGCAAUGCCGCGUGUGUGAANAAGGCCUGCGGGUUGUAAAGCACUUUCAGUAGAGAAGAAAAGCUUAGGGUUAAUAACCCUGAGUCUUGACGUAACCUACAGAAGAAGCACCGGCUAACUCCGUGCCAGCAGCCGCGGUAAUACGGAGGGUGCGAGCGUUAAUCGGAAUUACUGGGCGUAAAGCGCGCGUAGGCGGCUUUGUAAGUCAAAUGUGAAAGCCCCGGGCUUAACCUGGGAAUUGCAUUCGAUACUGCUGAGCUAGAGUAUGGUAGAGGGAAGUG
This 538-nucleotide ribosomal RNA is filed under the name uncultured bacterium. RNAcentral's name for it is "bacterial SSU rRNA". It matches the Rfam family "Bacterial small subunit ribosomal RNA", at positions 130 to 663 of the family's 1533-position model. The record is from RNAcentral.